RNAcentral lists this unclassified non-coding RNA (20 nucleotides) under Mus musculus (house mouse). RNAcentral describes it as "oocyte_clustered_small_RNA1111". Lineage: Eukaryota; Metazoa; Chordata; Mammalia; Rodentia; Muridae. The record is from RNAcentral.
UCAGUUCUCACUAGCGCGAG